This 459-nucleotide ribosomal RNA is filed under the name uncultured bacterium. Its description in RNAcentral is "bacterial SSU rRNA". It matches the Rfam family "Bacterial small subunit ribosomal RNA", at positions 346 to 796 of the family's 1533-position model. The record is from RNAcentral.
AGGCAGCAGUUAGGAAUAUUGGACAAUGGGCGAAAGCCUGAUCCAGCCAUGCCGCGUGUGUGAAGAAGGCCUUUUGGUUGUAAAGCACUUUAAGCGAGGAGGAGGCUACUUAGAUUAAUACUCUAGGAUAGUGGACGUUACUCGCAGAAUAAGCACCCGCUAACUCUGUGCCAGCAGCCGCGGUAAUACAGAGGGUGCGAGCGUUAAUCGGAUUUACUGGGCGUAAAGCGUGCGUAGGCGGCUUCUUAAGUCGGAUGUGAAAUCCCUGAGCUUAACUUAGGAAUUGCAUUCGAUACUGGGAAGCUAGAGUAUGGGAGAGGAUGGUAGAAUUCCAGGUGUAGCGGUGAAAUGCGUAGAGAUCUGGAGGAAUACCGAUGGCGAAGGCAGCCAUCUGGCAUAAUACUGACGCUGAGGUACGAAAGCAUGGGGAGCAAACAGGAUUAGAUACCCUAGUAGUCC